This 329-nucleotide unclassified non-coding RNA is filed under the name Hevea brasiliensis (rubber tree). The record is from RNAcentral. Lineage: Eukaryota; Viridiplantae; Streptophyta; Magnoliopsida; Malpighiales; Euphorbiaceae.
AAAAUAUAUAAAUCAAAUUAAAUUUUAAUUAGAGUAAUUAUUGCUUUGUGAAAAUCAAUUAUAAUUGUAAUUAACCAUGUAAUAUUUUGUUUUGUAAUUAAGUUAGAUAAUUGGCUAGUAGUAGUAGGGUAGAAUUGGCUGGCAAGCAUGCAUUGGCCCCAUUGUUUGACUCUUGUGUAGAUGUUAACAUCCCCAUAAAAAAUUACCAUCAUAAUUAUAAAUUUAUGCGUGAGACUAAUCUCAAUUUUAACUGGAAUAACAUUUAUUAAUUGAUUGAAUGUAUAUAUUUAAAUAUAAGUAAAACUUACUUUUCUUAUACGGUAUGAAAA